Molecule: ribosomal RNA, 499 nt
Filed under: uncultured bacterium
Lineage: Bacteria
Description: partial 16S ribosomal RNA
Rfam family: Bacterial small subunit ribosomal RNA
Source: RNAcentral
ACUCAAAUGAAUUGACGGGGGCCCGCACAAGCGGUGGAGCAUGUGGUUCAAUUCGACGCAACGCGAAGAACCUUACCUGGACUCGAAAUGCAGCCGACGGCUUCAGAGAUGAGGCUUUCCCGCAAGGGACGGCUGUAUAGGUGCUGCAUGGCUGUCGUCAGCUCGUGUCGUGAGAUGUUGGGUUAAGUCCCGCAACGAGCGCAACCCUCACCCUUUGUUGCUCGCCCGCAAGGGAAGCACCCGAAGGGAACUGCCCCGGAUAACGGGGAGGAAGGUGGGGAUGACGUCAAGUCCUCAUGGCCUUUAUGCCCAGGGCUACACACGUGCUACAAUGGCCGGUACAAACCGUCGCCAACUCGCGAGAGGGAGCCAAUCGGAAAAAACCGGUCUCAGUUCGGAUUGCAGUCUGCAACUCGACUGCAUGAAGCUGGAAUCGCUAGUAAUCGCGUAUCAGAACGACGCGGUGAAUACGUUCCCGGGCCUUGUACACACCGCCCGU